GUCAUUUUUUUAUGUACAGGUUCUAGCUUUUAGGGACAUAGGUCCCCAGCGGUCACUCACAUUCUUAUUAUCCCUAAAGUGAAGGAUGGCUUGACUGGAAUUUCUAAGGCUGAGGAGAAGCAUUGUGAGAUUCUUGGCCGGCUGCUUUACACCGCAAAGCUCGUUGCUAAACAAGAAGGCCUUGAGAAAGGCUUCAGGCUCGUGAUUAACGAUGGGCCUGAUGGAUAUAAGUAUUCUUUCUUAUUUGCUCUCGACCAUCAACUUUAAGUUUCUGUCUUCCCUUCUAUCUGAAAUCGGGUUUUGACAGGCCAAUCCGUUUAUCACCUUCACAUACACCUCCUUGGAGGACGCCAAAUGAACUGGCCUCCUGGUUAAACUGGAUUUGAUCUGCUAAGUGGUUUUAAACAGUGAUGCUUCUUCUAAAUUCUGCAUAUGAUUCAGGAUUCAAUUGAGAAGAAAAUUUAGAAGUUGAAAUUGAGUUCUUAAAUUUGUAUUUUUAUCUUUUCUUCCUCUCAGAUUUGAAGUGGAUGAAUGGUUUUGUUUGCAUUUUUGUGGUUAGUUGUCUUUUCCUGGCAUCGUUUUUUUGGCUGAUCAACUGACUCUUCUAUAAUCUUACUUUAUAAAUUCAGAGCAGUACAUCUUCAGCACGUUGGAUCAGUUGAUGGCAGUUCCAUGUCUUCUAAAUAUGUAUAUUCAUUUGACUUCCUGGAAGUUGCCUCAGAAUCCGAACAAUCUGCCAAGACUUCCCGUACCAAGUUGUUGUCUUUGCCUGCUGUAUUGGAACGUUCGGUAUCUGAGAACUCUGAUGGCUUGGAUCUUUUCAGUUCACCCUUUUCAUGAGCUCAAUAUGUUGAUUUGUUCCAGCAAUCUCCUACUUCUUCAGCUCCAACUUUUGUUUCGGAUCAGCCGCCCCACACCCUUCCAUCAUCAUCCUUAGACUUGUUUGCUGAGACGCCUGAUCAACAGAAAUGGUCUGCUGGUUCCAAUAGAAAAUUUUUUGAUGUAGUGUCAAAAAAUAACGGAUGAGCAACAUCUGACAUGCCUCCGUACAUAUCACCUAUGGGAACUGAAAACGCAAUCCCUACAAUGAUAUUAACUUUUGAUAGGUGUCUUCUAGGAAACAUAGAUCCAUAUUUGCAGGAUUCUCCUGAUCAUCAGCCUUCUCAAGAGAUGUCUACUUUAUGGCAUUAAAGUGAACAAGAUUUUGUAGCAAAUGCAGAAGCAAUGAGAGCUCAAAGCACUGCAUCUUCAGGAAGAGUUGGAUCAGUUGAUGGCAGUUCCAUGUCUUCCAAAUCUGUAUACUCAUUUUAACUUUCUGGAAGUUGCCUCAGAAUCCAAACAAUCUGUACUAUGUGGUUGUCUUUGCCUUCUGUAUCAGAACGUUCAGUAUCUGAGAACUCUGAUGACUUGGAUCUUUUCAGUUCACCCUUUUCAUUUGCUAAAUAUGUUGAUUUUUUUUCCGGCAAUCUCCUACUUCUUCAGCUCCAACUUUCGCUUCAGAUCAACUGCCACGAACCCCUCCAUCGUCAUCCUUAGACUUGUUUGCUGAGAUGCCUGAUCAACAGAAAUGGCCUGCUGGUUCCAAUAGCACAAUCUCUGAUGUAGUGUCAAAAAAAUGAAGGAUGGGCAACAUUUGACAUGCCUCCAAACACACCAUCUAUGGGAAUUGAAAAUUUUAUCACUGCAAUAAUACCAAUAUCUUAUAGGAGUCUACUAGGAAACACAGACCCAUAUUCUCAGGUUUAUUCUGAUCAUCAGCCUUCUAAAGAGACGUCUACUUUAUGGGAUGAAAGUGAACAAGAUUUGAAGCGAACCCAGAAGGAACGAGAGCUCAAGUAAGUGCAAAUUCUGUCUGGCUAUGUGAAGCAAGAAGAUAAAUAAGUUUGGCCAUGGCCAGAGAAUUUGAUUGUAGUAUAUAUGAACAGAGAAUUUGCUGUUAACGUUGUCCAGUCGAGGAAUACAUUCGAAGAUUCCAAAGGAGAACAGCCAAUUGAUAACAAUGUUGAAGUAGCUAACCAAUCACAAAAAACC
Olea europaea var. sylvestris is the source of this 2031-nucleotide long non-coding RNA. RefSeq lists it as uncharacterized. The record is from RefSeq and is a predicted model, not a curated record. NCBI's taxonomy places the organism in Eukaryota, Viridiplantae, Streptophyta, Magnoliopsida, Lamiales, Oleaceae. The transcript has 3 exons.